GAUGCAGUUUAGUGAGUCUGCAGCUGAAGACGUUCAAAUACCAGACGAGCAGGAUUCAGAAAAUCAGGACGGCACAGAGGAGCCAUCAGAAGCUUCUGAGGUAGAGUCCUGAAAAACAAUACCUUGUGUAUUCUGUGUUUGCUGAAUGGAAUAAACAACUUUUGAAUUAAUGAUUUUCUUUCUGGCAGGAAUGCAGUGCCUCUCUCAAUGAAAAUGCAAAAUCUGAAAUUUCAGAUUCAGCUGGAGUGGAUACAGGUGCAGUUGGUAGUGAUGACAUGAACACAUGAUCCAGAGAAAUUUAAAUACUAUAGAAAAUUUCUAUAAAUACAAUAUUGUAAAUGUACUGUGCUGUCAUUACUGUUUAAAGGUUUUGUUUUUUUUUAAGAAGUCUCUUAAGCUCACAAAGGCUGCAUUUAUUUGUUAUUAGAAUUCUAAUAUGCUGAUUUGGUGAUCCAGUAACAUUUCUUAUUACUAUUAUUAAUUUUAGUUGUGCUGCUUUUAUAUUUUUUGUGGAAACUGCUAUACAUUUUUUUUCAAGAUACUUUGUAUUUAUUUAAAAAAAUCUUUCUUUAAAAUCUGACACUAAACUUUGAAUGGUAGUGUAUAUUAUUGUUUUAACAAUUUCCUUCCUUGUCACAGAUAAACAUUCUGAGGAGGAGCCCACAUUUAUUUUAACUCUAUAUGAGAUUCCAGUCUCUGAGUCUGCCUUUGGGCAGCAGGACACUCCCCCUUAUGAACUGCAGCCAGCACAAGUCCAGACACCCUUGCUGUUCUCAAACAGUUCACAUUCUCAUUAUUUCAAAUUAGAGCCUUCCAGGUACAUUUCUCUUCCAGUCUAGAUUUAAUUAGGAAACAUUUUACACAGUAAAAAAACAAAAUCCUUGAUCAUCCAUUCCUUUCAUCCUUGAUGACCUUGUUUUGCAGUGCAUCUCCGAACAUGGCGUCUGAAGAGACCAGUAAUCUAUAUAAAAGUAGUUCUCGCAAGGUGGUGGAUGACUCCCUGGAUCCUCUUUCAAAGGAAGCAGCAGAUGAUGCUAGUACACAAUUGAUAUCCUCACUGGAAAGCAGUUGUGAUGAUGUGAACUCUUUAAUUAGUCCACCCGGGAUGUUCUCUUGUAAUUCUGCCACGCCAACACAUGUGCUGAAAUUGGAUGAGAUCCUGACAGAAUCCCCAGAAACUAAAGCACCUUCUCAGAGGAGAUGUAGAUGUCAGAAUCUACCAACAUCUCAAACCACAGCACAAACUGAGAUUGAGACCAACCAGACACUAUCUGUGCAGGAAACAGUUGGUCCUGAAAGCCACUCAAGCCUUGAAGACAGUGAGAGGGAAGCCCAUCCUGGGCCUGAUGGCAUGAUAUCAACAGCCAUUGUUCCAGGGUCUGAAGAUAUGAGAGAUGAGAGUCACCUGAAGUGGGAAUGUCCUCUCAGAACAGAACUCCAGAGGAAUGAGGACUCUGUUGUUGACCCUCCAGUACACAGUACAUUCAUAAAGGAGUCUGAGGGGAACAACGAAGCUGGUUAUGAGGGUAUUUCACACAUAGUGUUGGCUGAUGCCUUCGUACUCUCAUCAGAAGAAAUGAAGGAUGUUUUUAAUAAGGAAAAAGAAAGCCUUUAUGAUAGUGAGCUCCAAAUACCUGAGGGCUUAUCUGUAUGUCUGACAGAGAGUGAGAAAUCUGUUCAUUCAGUUAUUGACCAAGUAAGUGUUUUUGUUUAUAUCCAAACAAAACAUUAGUCCUCAAUAUGUUAUGAAAUUGCCUGACGAGUGGUCCAUUUCCCAGAAAUAAAGCUCAAUAAGUAUUUAUCUACUUUUUUAAU
This is a long non-coding RNA of Cyprinus carpio (common carp), 1815 nucleotides long. NCBI's taxonomy places the organism in Eukaryota, Metazoa, Chordata, Actinopteri, Cypriniformes, Cyprinidae. The record is from Ensembl.